RNAcentral lists this long non-coding RNA (446 nucleotides) under Trifolium pratense (red clover). RNAcentral's name for it is "long non-coding RNA (TPRA_LNC010997)". The record is from RNAcentral. Lineage: Eukaryota; Viridiplantae; Streptophyta; Magnoliopsida; Fabales; Fabaceae.
CUACUUCACAAAGGCAUAAAGGUUCAAAAACAUUGCUCUGCUACAUUCAAAAAAAAAAAUUGCUCUGCUUCUUUUAUAACUAGUAUCAAAAUGACUAAUCAUUCACUUCAUCUCUUGACGACGACGGAUCAUUUACAUGGUAUUGUGCCUACAAAAAGAAUACAUCGAUUAUUUUAGAUCAAAAUAGGUAAUUAAAAAAUAAGAUUUGUGACAAUAUUGAUCUAGUACCUGCAACAAUUCAAAAUAGGAAGCACCAUUCAUGACUUGAGAAUAAAAUGGAGCCUAAAUAACAUUAAGUAUACUUGUUAGGUCCCAUAAUAUAAAUGUUGCAAGAAACUAAACUGCAGUAGGGUUCAUUCUUGUACCUGAUUUACUUCACUAAUAAGUCUUGAGUUUGGAUUGAAGGGAGCUAAAUUAUUUGAACUGCCUUGUCCAUUCCACCCAAA